CCAGGAUGUUGCAAGUAAAGUAGUAGCAUAGUCAACUAAAGUUCAAAAGCAAGGCAUCAUCUGCAUGACAUCAUCCACAGACAACAAAGACUAUCACCAUCCAGAUAAGAAGUUCUUCAAGCAGGCAGAUGAAGUCAUUUUUCACUUCAGUGCUUCUCUUUCCUUCCAAGAGCCCGUGACAGAGGAAGAUUAAAGUGAAUUAAAA
Molecule: long non-coding RNA, 205 nt
Filed under: Anser brachyrhynchus (Pink-footed goose)
Lineage: Eukaryota; Metazoa; Chordata; Aves; Anseriformes; Anatidae
Description: lncRNA (ENSABRG00000015847.1)
Source: RNAcentral